Molecule: ribosomal RNA, 551 nt
Filed under: Alpheus paracrinitus
Lineage: Eukaryota; Metazoa; Arthropoda; Malacostraca; Decapoda; Alpheidae
Description: partial small subunit ribosomal RNA
Source: RNAcentral
GGUCGAUUGAAAGUGUAUUGGGGCCGAAGUAAUCGGAUAUUUAAUUUGAGUUGGUUAUAAUAAGAUAAAAGGGUGAAAUCUAGUAAUCAAGAGUAUAGCUAAUUUGAUAGGGUGGUCUUGAAUCUUUAAAAUCUGGGGGGUAAAAUAGGAUUAGAUACCCUGUUAUUCUCAGUAGAAACAUGGACCUUUGAGUAGUAAACAGAUAUAAUCUCGAAACUCAAAGGAUUUGGCGGUAGCUAAGUCUGGUUAGAGGAACUUGUGCAGUAAACGAUAAUCCCCGAGUAUCUGGCCUUACCUCGUAAUUAAUCAGUCUGUAUACCGCCAUUAUUAGAUAAUCUUUCAAGAGAAUUAUUAUAACUGAAUUUAGUUCAAGUAUAUUAGGUCAAGGUGCAGCUUAUGGUAAGGUUGUCGUGAGUUACAUUAAAACGAGUUUUGAGCGAAUGAGUCUUGGAAGAAGGACUUUGAAGGUGGAUUUAAUUGUAAUAGUCGUAGAUUAUACGUCUUUGGUAAGAGCUCUUAGGUAUGUACACAUCGCCCGUCGUUCUCACUUU